Molecule: ribosomal RNA, 285 nt
Filed under: Avena agadiriana
Lineage: Eukaryota; Viridiplantae; Streptophyta; Magnoliopsida; Poales; Poaceae
Source: RNAcentral
UCUUUUUUUUAUUGCGUCACGCGACGACGGGGUAUGGGCGAAGGCAUAUUUUAUUUUUAUUGUUUUUGACGUCGGUGGUCGUUUUAUUGUGAAAUCCGAGGGGUUGAAUCACAGAGGAUGGAGCUGGAGGGGAAGGCAUAAGGAGAAACGGGGUACAGAACAUGUCGGAUGGGAUCAUACCAGCACUAAAGCACCGGAUCCCAUCAGAACUCCGAAGUUAAGCGUGCUUGGGCGAGAGUAGUACUAGGAUGGGUGACCUCCUGGGAAGUCCUCGUGUUGCAUCCC